UAAUGUCACGGUCAGCGACAAAAAUGCUUUGACAUCAUAUGUGCAACUUUUAUUUAGCUUAGCCUACUUGUGUUUACAAGCUCAGAUACUGCUCUAUGUAGAAAACCUUAGGCGGAGGACGGCGGUACGAAUGAUUAUUUCCCACCACCUUGUUAUUCUGAGGAAUGUUUUUAGCAAAAUGAUUUGGGGAGCUACUGUCGCCUAGUAGGAUGGGUACCUUUGACAUUUGAAUCGAUCCGGUACUAAUUCCCGGUACCUACGAAUCGAUACCGGUACUUAACGGUACCAAUUUUCGAUACUUUUGAGUUUUUAAUAUUUUUAAUUCUCUUUUAUAAUUAAAUAUAUAUUUUUCUCAAUAUAUGACCAUAUUUGAUAAAUAUCACGAUAAAUAACAUACAACUGUUUAUAUUUUAACAUUGUCCUUGUAGUUUUAUAAGCUGAUAAUUAAACUGAAGCAAACAUCUUUACUGUGAACUAAAUUUACUGUGUAUCGUUAUUCCUUUCGCCGUCCUUUUUCAAUAGAUUUUUCCUACUGGGAAGUUAGAAUUUCCGAGGAGAAAGCGAACGCACCAUUAGAUGAUAACAAUGGUGGCAUAGGCUGUGUCUCAAUUCAGGGUCUGCAUCCUACCUCGGCCGGAUUCGUCGGCCGGUUACGUCACAGCGCCGCGACUCGGCCUGUCCCAAUUCGAAGACUCCUUCAAAUGCGGUCGACGAAUGCGGCCUUCUUUUCGCCUGAAUGAAGGAUGGGUCGGGUGUAUCCUUCAAUAGGUAGCAUUUCCCAAGAUGCCUUGCGGGCCGGCCGGCAGAAAAACUUAAAAACAAUGGCGGAAGGUGAAGCGGGAGCUGUCGGAGAGGAUUGCGCAUAUAAAUGUAAGUAUAAACUUGAAAACUGUCAGUUUAAGGACUUUUUGUGAUACAUGAACGUUAUUUUAGUUAGAAAUGUUACAGUAAAAGUGCUUGUAUUGCGGUCUCGGCUCGUAUGUUCGGCCGCGCUCGGUGUCGUACUUCUCCCACUACGUUUCCCCCUGAUUUUAAUAGAAGUUUGUAUUUUAGGACCAAAAGAGAAUACCAGGGAAUUUAUUAAGCUUAGGGCGGAGAUGGACCACAUGAUCACCGGAGCAAAGUAUUCGGCGGCUGUGGCAUGGAGACUAUUCUGGAGAAAAUGGGCAUCCAGGGGAAGGUGCCAGCGAUGAGCUUCUGGAGCUGAUCUGGGAGGACAUGAGGCUGCAGAGCAGCAGAGAGCACAGGAGAGAAGGAAGAACUUUGACAGCUUUUUACUUUGCUAGAAAAAAAUGGUUAAUGAAGAUUAAACAUGUACAUGUAAAAGAAAUAUCUAAAUAAAAUCAGUUCUGCAUUAAA
Nothobranchius furzeri (turquoise killifish) is the source of this 1359-nucleotide long non-coding RNA. RefSeq lists it as uncharacterized. NCBI's taxonomy places the organism in Eukaryota, Metazoa, Chordata, Actinopteri, Cyprinodontiformes, Nothobranchiidae. The record is from RefSeq and is a predicted model, not a curated record.